UGGGGAAUAUUGCACAAUGGGGGAAACCCUGAUGCAGCGACGCCGCGUGAGCGAAGAAGGCUUUCGAGUCGUAAAGCUCUGUCCUAUGAGAAGAUAAUGACGGUAUCAUAGGAGGAAGCCCUGGCUAAAUACGUGCCAGCAGACGCGGUAAUACGUAUGGGGCGAGCGUUGUCCGGAAUUAUUGGGCGUAAAGGGUACGUAGGUGGUUUUUUAAGUCAGGUGUCAAAGCGUGGAGCUUAACUCCAUUAAGCACUUGAAACUGAAAGACUUGAGUGAAGGAGAGGAAAGUGGAAUUCCUAGUGUAGCGGUGAAAUGCGUAGAUAUUAGGAGGAAUACCGGUGGCGAAGGCGACUUUCUGGACUUUUACUGACGCUCAGGUACGAAAGCGUGGGGAGCAAACAGG
Molecule: ribosomal RNA, 403 nt
Filed under: Verrucomicrobiota bacterium
Lineage: Bacteria; Pseudomonadati; Verrucomicrobiota
Description: Verrucomicrobia bacterium partial 16S ribosomal RNA
Rfam family: Bacterial small subunit ribosomal RNA
Source: RNAcentral